RNAcentral lists this ribosomal RNA (253 nucleotides) under uncultured bacterium. RNAcentral's name for it is "partial 16S ribosomal RNA". It matches the Rfam family "Bacterial small subunit ribosomal RNA", at positions 524 to 776 of the family's 1533-position model. The record is from RNAcentral.
UACGUAGGGGGCAAGCGUUGUCCGGAAUCAUUGGGCGUAAAGCGCGUGUAGGCGGCCUUGUAAGUCCGUUCUGAAAGCCCGGGGCUCAACCCCGGGAGGCGGAUGGAUACUGCAAGGCUCGAGUACGGAAGAGGCGAGUGGAAUUCCUGGUGUAGCGGUGAAAUGCGCAGAUAUCAGGAGGAACACCAAUUGCGAAGGCAGCUCGCUGGGACGUUACUGACGCUGAGACGCGAAAGCGUGGGGAGCGAACAGG